GGAAUAUUGGUCAAUGGAUGCAAGUCUGAACCAGCCAUGCCGCGUGCAGGAAGAAGGCGUUAUGCGUUGUAAACUGCUUUUGCCAGGGGAUAAAAUGACUGUGCGCAGUUAAUUGAAGGUACCUGGUGAAUAAGCCACGGCUAACUACGUGCCAGCAGCCGCGGUAAUACGUAGGUGGCAAGCGUUGUCCGGAUUUAUUGGGUUUAAAGGGUGCGUAGGCGGCCCUGUAAGUCAGUGGUGAAAUAUCUCAGCUUAACUGAGAGGGUGCCAUUGAUACUGCAGGGCUUGAGUACAGAUGAGGUAGGCGGAAUUGACGGUGUAGCGGUGAAAUGCAUAGAUAUCGUCAAGAACACCGAUAGCGAAGGCAGCUUACCAAGCUGUAACUGACGCUGAGGCACGAAAGUGUGGGGAUCAAACAGGAUUAGAUACCCUGGUAGUCCACACUGUAAACGUUGAUGACUCGAUGUNGGCAAUACACAGCCAGCGUCCAAGAGCAAUCG
This 500-nucleotide ribosomal RNA is filed under the name uncultured bacterium. RNAcentral's name for it is "bacterial SSU rRNA". It matches the Rfam family "Bacterial small subunit ribosomal RNA", at positions 358 to 859 of the family's 1533-position model. The record is from RNAcentral.